GCAUAAAUGUCAUUGGAAACCUGAUGCCCCUUCUCUCCACCACCCACUCUUCUGCUGAUGAUAGCUAUAACUGAGGGGUGAGUGGAUAAAGGCUAACAACAUCAGGUAAUGAUGAACUCCUAUUAUUUAUUCUACAGUGAUAAACUGAAAGAUUCCAAGUGCUGUUCACUUCUCCAUGCAAAGAGGAUUCAAGAGGGAGAAGUAAUUAGAAGUGACAUUGCUGGAAUGUAUGACUCUAAAUUCUAGACUAUACUUCCUAUUCAGUCCUGUAUGCCUUGCCCUGAG
RNAcentral lists this long non-coding RNA (285 nucleotides) under Callithrix jacchus (white-tufted-ear marmoset). RNAcentral describes it as "lncRNA (ENSCJAG00000074767.1)". The record is from RNAcentral. Lineage: Eukaryota; Metazoa; Chordata; Mammalia; Primates; Cebidae.